GGGUGUAAAUCAGGCAAAUGCCUAGAUUUUUGGAAUAAAAAAUGAUGCUAGUAGAUAAAUGUUUGGAAUUAUUUUGACUGCAGCCAGCAAAUAUAUCUCAUCACUAUGGUUGCAAAAACAAACACCCACCAAAGAACCGUAUCCGACACAGGGAAAAUAAUUAAGGGAAAUGGAACAAUUUGCAGCUUGUAUUAAAUUCUUUGCAUUCCCUCACACAAAUCAGUAGUCAGAGGGGUGAACUGUGACCUCCAUGUGAAUAUUCUAUUUGAGCUCUUGCCAUUCUGACAGUAGCAAAUAGGGAAAACACUACUUUAAAUAGAAAAGAACUUGAGAUGUAUCCUCCUACUUUGAACCAUUUUCCAUCCCACAUUUUGAUAGUCAAUGUGAAUUCAAGAGUAUAGUUUUGCUUUUGAGUCCAAAUUGGAAAUAAUUUGGGUUUUUUUUACCUCUGGUUUAGAUGUAGUUAAAGACAGCAGAACCAGCAGUGCCUUACUGUUAGGAGUUCUGCCAACUAUGGGAUCAAUCCAUAGUUAAGCAACCAAUGCAAUUCUGAACCACUAACAAAAAUAAUUUCCUAUAAAAUAUAUUAAUAUGUUUUAAACCCUAAGUAUUUCAAUUAAAAAGAAAAAAAAAAGCAACAACAAAAGGAAGAAAACAAAGGCUUGUAUAUCCAUGGUUAGAUAGCCAUAAAGGAAUAUAAAUUCAUCAGAGAAUUUUGGUACUUGAGGCACAGCUCACAUUGGAAUGUCAGCUAAAUCAUCAGCAUUUAGAACCAGCCUGAACAUGACAUUUAUGCUGUGUUUUUAUGAGCAGGGCUGGUUGUAAGUAGCAAUAAAGUAUUGUCUCUUCCAGCACCUAUGGUGACACUUCUUCGCAGGGCAUUCUUGGAGAGAGGAGGAGCCAGAGGAAGACACACUGCAGCUAUCCCAGAAUAAGGUUGUGCAGCCUUCUGAAGUUACACUUGAAAAUGUCAUUCCCACCAUCUAGAUGCACUUGGUCUGAAGAACUUGCUGCAACAUCUGUAUUUUUGCUAAAGAAAGCUGUGUGAAGAUUCUAAGCUUGUCAACUGAAUUUUUUAACAUUAAUUUUUGUUGGCAUGACACCCUAGCAGCAGUUAUAUUCAGUUAACAAGUAGCUCCUAAAAUAUGAGUGUUUUUGUGUGUAUGUGAUUAAAUAAAUAAACUCAUGAAUGAUCA
Molecule: long non-coding RNA, 1196 nt
Filed under: Cyanistes caeruleus (blue tit)
Lineage: Eukaryota; Metazoa; Chordata; Aves; Passeriformes; Paridae
Description: lncRNA (ENSCCEG00000011558.1)
Source: RNAcentral